ACACUGUAAAAAAUUUCCGGGAUUUCACAAGAUGUAAUUGUGAUAUUUCACAGUAAAUUACAUUAUUAGCAUGUCACAGGCUUUAACUGUGACAUUUCACAAUAUAGUACAGUAUUCAGACUUUUAUUGUGAAAAUAAUGCCAUCGGCGAAAUCACAGGGAACGGCUGUAAGUUCCGACGCGCGCUAUCUGUUUGGGUUCUCUCAUCUCUGCGGUCUCAUCCAACGGAUUCUGUGGUAAGUGUUAAAAUGUCAAAUUUUGUCAAAUAAAUGACUGAUUUAUUUUCAAAAUAUAUGUCAUAGUGCAUGUAGUAUUAUCCAAAUGUCGUUAUUUGUAGGUUUCGCGUGGGUUGAACCGCUAAAUUUGAAAAUAAAGCAAUGAACAGAUGUUGGUAGUGUUACUGUGAGACCUUUUAGGAGCUUUAUUAAAAAUAAAACAUUAUUUGUUAACUUGAGCUUUUCUUAGUGCUAACAGCUUUCUCUCUUUUUCUUCCUUCACAGCAUCUUUCUGCGGUAACCACUGGGGAAUAAAGUUAUGAGGUAAACUGUGGCUUAUACGAACAUUAUGGCCGUUAUUAUCAGAUAGAAAAAUGAACUUAAUUAAUAUGCCCGGUUUCAGUAAAACCAGAUGAUGGUGUCGUGGAUUAGGGUAGACAUAAAUUCAUUUCAAAAUAUAACUUAUAGAGAUGUGUGAGAGAGAUACGGAGCAGCGGUUAUCUGCCGCGUCACCUGAAAAAUAAAGUGCGUAUGUCAAUGUUUUAAGACAUUUUAAAGAGUGAUUCACAUAUAUUGCGUCUUUUGCGCGCUCAAGUACGUUAUUUCAAAUAUAGGCGAAGCGACGCGCUCGUUUUUUCAGGCGCGCCCGCACCGCAUUGAUUUAAAAACAUUUCAACUUUUCAGAGUCAUCUGUGUUUUUGCAAGUAACUUGCACGAACGUAAAUGUGAUUUCCAGCUGGUAAUUCAUAAGUUUUAAUCAUUAUCUUGUGAUGGUGUUUGUAUUUAUGGGCAGAACUGACUACAGCGUGGUGAGCUUUCUAACUACACACACAGUUCAUUUUAAGGUUGACACCCUAGUUGUCCUGCCCUAUAGUUUCACAUUUUAACUAAUCUGUAUAUAUUGUUCAGUAGUGCUUAGUAACUUUCAUGUGUGUGAACCUGCAUUUAUGUAUACAACAUGAAAAGUGAAGCCUUCUUCAUUGUUUCCAGGUAUUUUUUCCACACUUCACAAGGAUGGGGACAUCACUCAGAAGAGUAAAGUUUCGAGAAGCCCUGGAUACCAACUACCAUAACAUUCUGAAGUUUGUCCAAGGAGUCAACUAUCAUCAACGGGGUGCUUCUUGGGCAUUAAUUCGGAGACAGACAGGCAGAAAGGACAGAAACAACAAGCUGCAAGUCUGUACACUGAUUAGAAAACUUAUGACUUGAAUGGAUGUCAGUCUAGUGUGUCACAAAUACUAGUUCUUUGUUUAGCUAGAGGCGAUUGUACACUUUGUACUCUUACAAUGUUCUAUAUCAGGAGUCUCCAACGUGGUGCCCAUGGGCAGCAGGUAUAUACACAGAGUCUGUGAGGUGCCCACCAAAUCACAUUCUAUUAAUAGUCUCAAUUGUAAUGUUUGUUGAUUACAUAUUUUUUAUAUUGACUUGGCUUGGUUUACAUAUGUUAAAAUUUUAAACAAUACAAAAACAUAUCAAAAAGUACAAUGAAAUAAAAUCAACAAGUAAAACAAAAAAAGUUUUGAGUACACUAUAUCAAAAGGUAGCCCUCCAGAAUGUUUUAUCCAUUGUGGUAGCCCUUGCUCACAAAAAGGUUGGAGACCCCUGUUCUAUAUUGUGUUUGUUAAAUAAAGAAACAUGAAGAAAUUAGUGAAUGUCAGUCUACAUUGUAAAAAUAAAAUAUUUGUUGCACUUAUUUUUUAGGUUUAAUUAACUCUAAAUUACAAUUUAUUUCAACUUUCUUGACUAGUGAGGAGUUGCUAUUAAGUAUAAAAAAUAAAGUUGAAAUAACUUAAGCUAACUACUUUAAUUUUAUAAUUUAUUGCAACUCUUCAUUAGUCAAAAAAGUUAAAUGAAUUAUAAAUUCAAGUUGAUUAAAUUAAAAAAUAUAAGUUCCGUUUUUUACAGUGCAGAGCGGGGUGGGCAUUCCUGGUCUUUGAGGGCCAUUGUCCUGCAAAGUUGAGCUCCAACCCUAAUCAAACACACCUCAAUGUCAUUUCCAAGUCAUACUGAAGCCUUUGAUUGAGAUUUUCAGGUGUGUUUGAUUAGGGUUGGAGCUAAACUUUGCAGGACAGUGGCCUUCAAGGACCAGGAAUGCCCACCCCUGCUGUAGAGUGUAAGCAGUGUUCCAAUGCACGAAAGGAAAUAUUAUUCUGUGUAGUUAUUAUUCUGAUGUUAUUUAUACUAUCUGAGAUAGUCAAUGAAUAAUAUGUAAUAAUAAUAUGUAAUAAUAUGUUAUGUACAAAAUAAAAGUAUGAAAUCGA
This is a non-coding RNA of Misgurnus anguillicaudatus (oriental weatherfish), 2475 nucleotides long. The record is from RefSeq and is a predicted model, not a curated record. NCBI's taxonomy places the organism in Eukaryota, Metazoa, Chordata, Actinopteri, Cypriniformes, Cobitidae.